RNAcentral lists this ribosomal RNA (436 nucleotides) under uncultured bacterium. RNAcentral's name for it is "bacterial SSU rRNA". It matches the Rfam family "Bacterial small subunit ribosomal RNA", at positions 30 to 467 of the family's 1533-position model. The record is from RNAcentral.
AUUGAACGCUGGCGGAAUGCUUUACACAUGCAAGUCGAACGGCAGCACGGGGCAACCUGGUGGCGAGUGGCGAACGGGUGAGUAAUACAUCGGAACGUGCCCAAUCGUGGGGGGAUAACGUAGCGAAAGUUACGCUAAUACCGCAUACGAUCUACGGAUGAAAGCGGGGGAUCGCAAGACCUCGCGCGAAUGGAGCGGCCGAUGUCAGAUUAGGUAGUUGGUGGGGUAAAGGCUCACCAAGCCAACGAUCUGUAGCUGGUCUGAGAGGACGACCAGCCACACUGGAACUGAGACACGGUCCAGACUCCUACGGGAGGCAGCAGUGGGGAAUUUUGGACAAUGGGCGCAAGCCUGAUCCAGCCAUUCCGCGUGCAGGAUGAAGGCCUCGGUUGUAACUAGCUUUGUACGGUAACGAAACGGACGAGCUCUAAUACAG